This 253-nucleotide ribosomal RNA is filed under the name uncultured bacterium. RNAcentral describes it as "partial 16S ribosomal RNA". It matches the Rfam family "Bacterial small subunit ribosomal RNA", at positions 524 to 776 of the family's 1533-position model. The record is from RNAcentral.
UACGGAGGGAGCUAGCGUUGUUCGGAAUUACUGGGCGUAAAGCGCGCGUAGGCGGCUUUGUAAGUUAGAGGUGAAAGCCCGGAGCUCAACUCCGGAACUGCCUUUAAAACUGCAUCGCUUGAAUCCAGGAGAGGUGAGUGGAAUUCCGAGUGUAGAGGUGAAAUUUGUAGAUAUUGGGAAGAACACCGGUGGCGAAGGCGGCUCACUGGCUCGUAUCUGACGCUCAGGCGCGACAGCGUGGGGAUCAAACAGG